Molecule: long non-coding RNA, 397 nt
Filed under: Hordeum vulgare
Lineage: Eukaryota; Viridiplantae; Streptophyta; Magnoliopsida; Poales; Poaceae
Description: long non-coding RNA (HVUL_LNC014664)
Source: RNAcentral
CCUGAGCCAGGAGGAGAUCGACCGGAUGGUCAAGGAGGCGGAGGAGUUUGCCGAGGAGGACAAGAAGGUGAAGGAGCGCAUCGACGCCCGGAACCAGCUGGAGACGUACGUGUACAACAUGAAGAACACGGUGGGCGACAAGGACAAGCUUGCGGACAAGCUGGAGAGCGAGGAGAAGGAGAAGGUGGAGGAGGCCCUGAAGGAGGCGCUCGAGUGGCUGGACGAGAACCAGACGGCCGAGAAGGAGGACUACGAGGAGAAGCUCAAGGAGGUGGAGGCCGUGUGCAACCCCAUCGUGUCGGCCGUGUACCAGAGGUCCGGCGGCGCGCCUGGAGGCGAGGGCGCCGACGGCGGCGUCGACGACGAGGACCAUGACGAGCUGUAGAUUUGCUUUGGA